UGUAUGGAACGUCUGUAAUCUAGUAUGAGAAAUUAAUGAUCUAAGUCCUUCUUAAAUGAGGCCAUUUACCCAUAGAGGGUGCCAGGCCCGUAUAACGUUAAUGAUUACUAGAAGAUGUUUCCAAAGAGUCGUGUUGCUUGAUAGUGCAGCACUAAGUGGGUGGUAAACUCCAUCUAAAACUAAAUAUAACCAUGAGACCGAUAGUAAACAAGUACCGUGAGGGAAAGUUGAAAAGAACUCUGAAUAGAGAGUUAAAUAGUACGUGAAACUGCUUAGAGGUUAAGCCCGAUGAACCUGAAUAUCCAUUAUGGAAAAUUCAUCAUUAUAUCUGUAAUAUUUAUAAUAUCAUAGAAAUGGUGUGCAUUUUUUCCAUAUAAGGACAUUGUAAUCUAUUAACAUAAUAUAUAUUUAUCAAAAGGUCAUUUGCUUAUGUUUAUUCAAAUUAAUUUGCUUGCAAGUUAACACAGAAUAAAUGCUUAUGAUUUGAUAAAGUGUUGAUAGAUUAAUAAUAUAUAGUGCUUAAAUACUUUUGUAUUUUACAAUGAUUUAAUUAUCUUAUGAUUUUUAUAUUUAUUGUAUGCGCUUAUAUGAUUAACAAUGCGAUAGAUUCAGGAUACCUUCGGGACCCGUCUUGAAACACGGACCAAGGAGUCUAACAUAUGUGCAAGUCAUUGGGAUUAUUUAUAUAAACCCAAAGGCGUAAUUAACUUAACUGUUUAAAUGGGAUUAGUUUUUAGUCUUUAUGUCUAUUAAUUCAAUCCCGGGGCGUUCUAUACUA
This 778-nucleotide ribosomal RNA is filed under the name Sapromyza bisigillata. RNAcentral describes it as "partial large subunit ribosomal RNA". It matches the Rfam family "Eukaryotic large subunit ribosomal RNA", at positions 150 to 778 of the family's 3401-position model. The record is from RNAcentral. Lineage: Eukaryota; Metazoa; Arthropoda; Insecta; Diptera; Lauxaniidae.